CGGAGGGGCGUAGCGUUGUUCGGAAUUACUGGGCGUAAAGACGCACGUAGGCGGACCGGAAAGUACAGAGGUGAAAUACCCAGGGCGUCAACCUUGGAACUGCCUUUGAAACUAAUCGGUCUGGAGUUCGAGAGAGGUGAGUGGAAUUCCGAGUGUAGAGGUGAAAUUCGUAGAUAUUCGGAGGAACACCAGUGGCGAAGGCGGCUCACUGGCUCGAUACUGACGCUGAGGUGCGAAAGCGUGGGGAGCAAACAGGAUU
This 259-nucleotide ribosomal RNA is filed under the name uncultured bacterium. RNAcentral describes it as "partial 16S ribosomal RNA". It matches the Rfam family "Bacterial small subunit ribosomal RNA", at positions 526 to 779 of the family's 1533-position model. The record is from RNAcentral.